AUAAUGCUACUUCCGUCCAGCCACAGCCCUGCCGCAAGCAGGAUCAGGCAAUGGGGGCGGCUUCCAGAGAUCCUGGGAGAGGUGAAAUUCCUAUGA
Regulatory RNA element from Desulfitobacterium hafniense Y51, 96 nucleotides. It matches the Rfam family "pemK RNA". The record is from Rfam. Lineage: Bacteria; Bacillati; Bacillota; Clostridia; Eubacteriales; Desulfitobacteriaceae.